This 305-nucleotide ribosomal RNA is filed under the name uncultured bacterium. RNAcentral describes it as "bacterial SSU rRNA". It matches the Rfam family "Bacterial small subunit ribosomal RNA", at positions 335 to 637 of the family's 1533-position model. The record is from RNAcentral.
UAGCCUACGGGGGGCAGCAGUGAGGAAUAUUGGUCAAUGGGCGCGAGCCUGAACCAGCCAAGUAGCGUGAAGGAUGACUGCCCUACGGGUUGUAAACUUCUUUUAUAAAGGAAUAAAGUGAGGCACGUGUGCCUUUUUGUAUGUACUUUAUGAAUAAGGAUCGGCUAACUCCGUGCCAGCAGCCGCGGUAAUACGGAGGAUCCGAGCGUUAUCCGGAUUUAUUGGGCGUAAAGGGAACGCAGGCGGUCUUUUAAGUCUGAUGUGAAAGCCUUCGGCUUAACCGGAGGAGUGCUUUGGAAACUGGG